UACGUAGGGACCAAGCGUUGUUCGGCUUUACUGGGCGUAAAGGGCGCGUAGGCGGCGUGGUAAGUCACUUGUGAAAUCUCUGAGCUUAACUCAGAACGGCCAAGUGAUACUGCUGUGCUAGAGUGCAGAAGGGGCAAUCGGAAUUCUUGGUGUAGCGGUGAAAUGCGUAGAUAUCAAGAGGAACACCUGAGGUGAAGACGGGUCGCUGGGCUGACACUGACGCUGAGGCGCGAAAGCCAGGGGAGCAAACGGG
This 253-nucleotide ribosomal RNA is filed under the name uncultured bacterium. Its description in RNAcentral is "partial 16S ribosomal RNA". It matches the Rfam family "Bacterial small subunit ribosomal RNA", at positions 524 to 776 of the family's 1533-position model. The record is from RNAcentral.